GCACAUCAUUAAUUAAAUUAAUCUGUCAAUCUCACCCAUCAAAGUCAGUGGGCGGAACCACUGACGUAAACGGGCGGGACUAGUGCCAAUCUGGUGUUAUCGACUGCUUUGGUCUGAAGCGUAACACCUCCUACAUGACAUGAAUGGAUCAAGGAGGAAAGCUGCUUCUAUUCGAAAUAUGAUGAAAAAAAGGGUUGUGAGUGAUUGGGACUGUAGCACUGUCAACAUUUCAAGUGUAAGGCUUAGAGUUUUAUCUUUAGGAAAAUGUAUUCGUGAAAUUAGCUUCUUGGCCAUGAAGUUUUAAAAGGAGUGGAUGCAUGUUGUCGAGAUACGUUGAGGAUGACAGCUGCCUCCAAGUUCUUCUUGGCUUCCUCGUUGAGGAUGACAGCUGCCUCCAAGUUCUUCUUGGCUUCCUCGCGGCCUAUCCACUAUAAGGGCUCCGGGAACCAAAUCUCCUUCAUCAUCGUGUUAGUUGUUUGACACACUUUCUCACAGAAAUAAAAAGGGGAUACUGUGACCAAACCGGCCUACUGAUGUCCAUACAGUAGCCCUACACAAGACCAUGUCUGUCACAUUGGUGCCAUGACCGAGUUGGACCUUCGCCCAACCGGGAUCAUUCUGGACAUCAUCUGCGUUGUGAUAAUCAUCAAAGCCUGACUGCCCACAACACCUGGAUCAGAGAGCCAGUCCAAUGAAAUCUGUCAAGAAAACCGCAGAUAAACAAGGCCUGUAUCAUCAUUGUAGUCUAGUACUACACUUUUAUUAUACACGAAGACAGAACAUGAGAUGCUUGUAUCAUUGCAAAAAAAAACAAAACUAACUAUACAAUCAGUCAUGCACUCUCAGACGCACUCACUUACUAUACAACUCACCACACACGUUAUCCAUUACAAUGUGUUCAUUCAGCUCUAACAUACCCACAUUUUUAAUUGAAAAAACCCUCAAAUCUCAAGAACCUGAAUGCAGCGUAUAUGUGUCUCCAGGCUACAAUGGGUUAAAGCGCUGGAGGCCAGAAGGAAAGUAGAGUGAUUACACUCAUUCUCAAACUGGACGCAAUGUGGACAGUAUUCCAAGUGUGCC
This is a long non-coding RNA of Engraulis encrasicolus (European anchovy), 1080 nucleotides long. RefSeq lists it as uncharacterized. The record is from RefSeq and is a predicted model, not a curated record. NCBI's taxonomy places the organism in Eukaryota, Metazoa, Chordata, Actinopteri, Clupeiformes, Engraulidae. The transcript has 3 exons.